AUCGAGAGCUGCGACCCAGCUGAACAUGAUAUGUGCGCUACAGCUUGUACCUAUAUUUUCGUAAGAAUGUAGCCCAGAAAGUAUGUGGAUAAGCACUUUGAAAUGUACUGAGUAUGUGGGGGUGCAUCCAACAAUAUAAAUAGUAUAAUCAAUUUCAUGAAAACAUACAUACGGACAAUGAUGACACACUUGGCUUGAGUUAUAUCAAAUCAUACUUUUUGUAAUUUCAUAAUAAACAGUUCAUAUGAUAAAA
This 253-nucleotide long non-coding RNA is filed under the name Capsicum annuum. Its description in RNAcentral is "long non-coding RNA (CANN_LNC006749)". Lineage: Eukaryota; Viridiplantae; Streptophyta; Magnoliopsida; Solanales; Solanaceae. The record is from RNAcentral.